CGACGAGUUUGAUCCUGGCUCAGGAUGAACGCUAGCGGCAGGCCUAACACAUGCAAGUCGAGGGGUAGAGUUCUUCGGGACUUGAGACCGGCGCACGGGUGCGUAACGCGUAUGCAAUCUACCUUAUACAGGGGAAUAGCCCAGAGAAAUUUGGAUUAAUGCCCCAUAGUGUUAUCGAAUCGCAUGGUUUGAUAACUAAAGUUCCAACGGUAUAAGAUGAGCAUGCGUCCCAUUAGUUAGUUGGUAAGGUAACGGCUUACCAAGCAAUGAUGGGUAGGGGUCCUGAGAGGGAGAUCCCCCGACACUGGUACUGAGACACGGGACCAGACUCCGUACGGGAGCAGCAGUGAGAAUAUUGGUCAAUGGGCGCAAGCCUGAA
This 379-nucleotide ribosomal RNA is filed under the name uncultured Flavobacterium sp. Its description in RNAcentral is "bacterial SSU rRNA". It matches the Rfam family "Bacterial small subunit ribosomal RNA", at positions 1 to 387 of the family's 1533-position model. The record is from RNAcentral. Lineage: Bacteria; Pseudomonadati; Bacteroidota; Flavobacteriia; Flavobacteriales; Flavobacteriaceae.